GGAGAUCAGAACCUUCUGGAAUCUUAAUAUGCGAGGACUCGGUGGAGAAGGCGGCACUGAAGAAGAGUCGUCCCUAGGCCAGGCUGGAGGGAAACUCAAGACGGCGGCCUGGCCCUCCUGGGUGGCGGAAGUGGGAGCAGCAGGAGCCCUGGCGGAUCCGGGAGGCCAGAAGAGCGGAAGCUUCCUCCCCUCUCAGCAGCUACAGUGCAUUCCAGGCCCUGGUCUCUAUGCGGGAGAAGCCAGCAAAGACCCUGUCCUCAGGAAGCUUCCAUUUCAGUGCGGGAGGACCCACAAUCCAUGAGGCCCCGGGCCUGCGGGUGUCAAGUCCUGCGAAGGAAAAUAAGGCAGGGAAACAGGCUGGAGACUGCGGGUGCUGCGUGAUGUUGUUUAGGACAGCCACAAGGACUUUCGGGGGUCGUGGCAGCUGCUCCACUUCCAACUUCCAGAUCCCUCUCACUUUCCUCUUCCCACCAACUCCAACCUGGGACCAAGCAGGGGAAAGCAGCUGCAGCCCAGCUUGACGCCCCUGCAAAUGGAGACCUGUGCACCUGGUUGUGAGCAUUUUAAAGGGUGUCACACAGGGCAUACCCUUCGGUGCCUGGAUUCCUUUGAUGAAAGGGCAAAGCCUUGAACCUAAGUCAUCUUCGAGUCCUCAGCACUUCACCCAGAGCCUGGCACACAGUAGGAGCACAGAAAGGUUUACAUCCAGCAGGAGUUGGCCCUGAGCUCUGAGUCCAGAUCAUUGCUCUUGGCUGAAGCAGCCUGUCUACUCACAAAGAUGAGCAUGGUCCCUGCCACGAGGAAACUCGUGGUCCUGUGGACUGCGGUGUGGAGGGAAAGCUUGGGAUUCUGAGCCUGAUAAUGCACCAUUACAUCCCCACUCACUCGGGCUGUGUGAACCCAGCAAGUCACAGGAUCACUGGGUGGUGAAAGAAAGAAACACUCACAGAAGCGUCUGUGCUUGGAGAGCCAUCUGGUCCGUCAUUGUGACUGCUGCUCUCAUUGCUAUCAUGGGUGUCACCAUUGCCAUCACUCAAGGACUUCUCUCCAGGCCCCGAAGCCAAGCUGGUGCCUGGUUCCUCUGGGUUGGGAGAGGGGCUGGGCAUGGACAGGAGGAGGGAAAAGGGACCUGUGCUAGCAGGUGAUGCCAUCCAAGACAUCUGCAUCCUAAUCCCUGGAACCUGGGAUUCCACUAGGUGCCAUGGCAAAGAGGGAUUAAGGUGGCAGGUGGAGUGAAGGUUGCUAAUCAGCCGACCUUAAAGUAGGGAGAUGAUCCUGAAUGAGACAAAAGAGAGAACCAGUCAUGGUGUCAUGAGAAGGACUCAAAAUGCAACUGCUGACUUUGAAGAUUAAGGGGCUACAAACCAAGGAACGUGGUAGUCUCUGGAAAAGACAAGGAAUAGACGCUGCGUUGGGGCCACCAGAAGGAACCAGCCCUGUCAACACCCUAAUUUUAGCCCAGUGAGGCCUGUGCUGGACUUCUGACCUCCAGAACUGUAAACUAAUAAAUGUGUGUUGUUUCUGCCACUAGA
Molecule: long non-coding RNA, 1532 nt
Organism: Homo sapiens (human)
Lineage: Eukaryota; Metazoa; Chordata; Mammalia; Primates; Hominidae
Product: long intergenic non-protein coding RNA 917
Source: Ensembl